RNAcentral lists this ribosomal RNA (252 nucleotides) under uncultured bacterium. RNAcentral's name for it is "partial 16S ribosomal RNA". It matches the Rfam family "Bacterial small subunit ribosomal RNA", at positions 524 to 776 of the family's 1533-position model. The record is from RNAcentral.
GACGGAGGGUGCAAGCGUUGUUCGGAUUGACUGGGCGUAAAGGGCGUGUAGGCGGUUGGUCAAGUCUGAUGUGAAAGCCCGGGGCUCAGCCCCGGAAGGGCAUCGGAAACUAGCCAGCUGGAGCGCGAUAGAGGAGGGUGGAAUUCCUGGUGUAGCGGUGAAAUGCGUAGAUAUCGGGAGGAACACCAGUGGCGAAGGCGACUUCCUGGCCUGUUCUGACGCUGAGGCGCGAAAGCCAGGGGAGCAAACGGG